UCUGGGGUCGCCUAAUUGGUAGGGCAACUGACUUUGAAUCAGGAGGUUGGGGGUUCGAGCCCCUCCCCCAGAACCA
Molecule: transfer RNA, 76 nt
Filed under: Dechloromonas sp.
Lineage: Bacteria; Pseudomonadati; Pseudomonadota; Betaproteobacteria; Rhodocyclales; Azonexaceae
Description: tRNA-Gln
Rfam family: tRNA
About the family: Transfer RNA (tRNA) molecules are approximately 80 nucleotides in length. Their secondary structure includes four short double-helical elements and three loops (D, anti-codon, and T loops). Further hydrogen bonds mediate the characteristic L-shaped molecular structure. tRNAs have two regions of fundamental functional importance: the anti-codon, which is responsible for specific mRNA codon recognition, and the 3' end, to which the tRNAs corresponding amino acid is attached (by aminoacyl-tRNA synthetases). tRNAs cope with the degeneracy of the genetic code in two manners: having more than one tRNA (with a specific anti-codon) for a particular amino acid; and 'wobble' base-pairing, i.e. permitting non-standard base-pairing at the 3rd anti-codon position.
Source: RNAcentral